This 1362-nucleotide ribosomal RNA is filed under the name Triticum aestivum (bread wheat). RNAcentral's name for it is "partial small subunit ribosomal RNA". The record is from RNAcentral. Lineage: Eukaryota; Viridiplantae; Streptophyta; Magnoliopsida; Poales; Poaceae.
AUGGGGUUCGUGUACCGAAUCGCGAGCCCGUCGGAGUACCUGGCCAUCACCGGGUACGGCGUGGACGAUGUGAAGCUGGCGAAGAAGGCGUGGAUCGCGCCGGGGCAGCGGUGCGCGCGCUUCGACAUCUCCCCGGUGAACUACACCUUCGAGGUGCAGGCGAUGAGCGCCGAGAAGCUCCCCUUCGUGCUCCCCGCCGUCUUCACCAUCGGCCCGCGCGCCGACGACGUCGAGAGCCUGCUCCGCUACGCCAAGCUCAUCUCCCCGCACGACAAGCUCUCCCGCCACGUCAACGAGCUGGUCAGGGGCGUGAUCGAGGGCGAGACGCGCGUGCUGGCCGCGUCCAUGACCAUGGAGCAGAUCUUCCACGGCACCAAGUCGUUCAAGCAGGCCGUGUUCGAGAGCGUGCAGCUGGAGCUCAACCAGUUCGGCCUCAUCAUCUACAACGCCAACGUGAAGCAGCUCGUGGACGUGCCCGGGCAUGAGUACUUCUCCUACCUCGGCCAGAAGACGCAGCAGGAGGCCGUCAACCAGGCCAAGGUGGACGUGGCCGAGGCGCGCAUGAAGGGCGAGGUCGGCGCCAAGGAGCGGGAGGGCAUGACGCGCCAGAACGCCGCCAAGGUGGACGCCGAGACCAAGGUGUACACGGUGAAGCGCCAGGGGGAGGGCUCCAAGGAGGAGGCCAGGGUGACGGCGGAGGUGAGGGUGUUCAGGAACGAGAGGGACGCCGAGCAGCAGGCGAGGGUGGCGGAGGUGGAGGCGGCCAAGGCCGUGGAGCGCACCAACGCCGCCAGGCAGACGGAGAAGCUCAAGGCCGAGCACCUCAGCAAGGCCGUCGUGGACUACGAGAUGAAGGUGCAGCAGGCCAACUGGGAGCUCUACAACCGGCAGAAGGCGGCGGAGGCGCUGCUGUUCGAGCAGGAGAGGCAGGCGGAGGCGCGCCGCGCGACGGCGGACGCGGAGUUCUUCGCGCGGCAGCGGGAGGCCGAGGCCGAACUCUACGCCAAGCGCAAGGAGGCCGAGGGGCUGGCGGCCAUGGGAGAGGCCCAGAGCGUGUACCUGUCCUCCAUGCUCGGCGCGCUCGGCGGCAGCUACGGCGCGCUCCGCGACUACCUCAUGAUCAGCUCAGGCGUGUAUCAGGAGAUGGCACGCAUCAACGCCGACGCCAUCAAGGGGCUCGAGCCCAAGAUCAGCGUGUGGAGCAACGGCUCUGCUUCCGAGGGUGGUGACGGCGCCAUGAAGGAGAUGGCUGGGGUGUACAGGAUGCUCCCGCCGCUGCUAACGACGGUCCACGAGCAGACUGGGAUGCUACCGCCGGCGUGGAUGGGCACCCUCAAGGGAGGCACCUCCACGUCCACCUGA